UCCUACGGGGGGCAGCAGCCGCGGUAAUACGUAGGGGGCAAGCGUUAUCCGGAAUUACUGGGUGUAAAGGGUGAGUAGGCGGCAUGGUAAGCCAGAUGUGAAAGCCUUGGGCUUAACCCGAGGAUUGCAUUUGGAACUAUCAAGCUAGAGUACAGGAGAGGAAAGCGGAAUUCCUAGUGUAGCGGUGAAAUGCGUAGAUAUUAGGAAGAACACCAGUGGCGAAGGCGGCUUUCUGGACUGAAACUGACGCUGAGGCACGAAAGCGUGGGGAGCGAACAGGAUUAGAUACCCCUGUAGUCCACGCG
RNAcentral lists this ribosomal RNA (305 nucleotides) under uncultured bacterium. Its description in RNAcentral is "bacterial SSU rRNA". It matches the Rfam family "Bacterial small subunit ribosomal RNA", at positions 499 to 801 of the family's 1533-position model. The record is from RNAcentral.